UACAGAGGUGGCAAGCGUUGUUCGGAAUUACUGGGCGUAAAGGGCGCGUAGGCGGCCUUCUAAGUCAGACGUGAAAUCCCCCGGCUUAACCUGGGAACUGCGUCUGAUACUGGGAGGCUUGAGUAUGGGAGAGGGAUGUAGAAUUCCAGGUGUAGCGGUGAAAUGCGUAGAUAUCUGGAGGAAUACCGGUGGCGAAGGCGGCAUCCUGAACCAUAACUGACGCUGAGGCGCGAAAGCUAGGGGAGCAAACGGG
Molecule: ribosomal RNA, 253 nt
Filed under: uncultured bacterium
Lineage: Bacteria
Description: partial 16S ribosomal RNA
Rfam family: Bacterial small subunit ribosomal RNA
Source: RNAcentral